Molecule: transfer RNA, 65 nt
Filed under: human gut metagenome
Rfam family: tRNA
About the family: Transfer RNA (tRNA) molecules are approximately 80 nucleotides in length. Their secondary structure includes four short double-helical elements and three loops (D, anti-codon, and T loops). Further hydrogen bonds mediate the characteristic L-shaped molecular structure. tRNAs have two regions of fundamental functional importance: the anti-codon, which is responsible for specific mRNA codon recognition, and the 3' end, to which the tRNAs corresponding amino acid is attached (by aminoacyl-tRNA synthetases). tRNAs cope with the degeneracy of the genetic code in two manners: having more than one tRNA (with a specific anti-codon) for a particular amino acid; and 'wobble' base-pairing, i.e. permitting non-standard base-pairing at the 3rd anti-codon position.
Source: RNAcentral
GGUAUCGCCAAGCGGUAAGGCAUUGGACUCUGACUCCAACAGUCGGUGGUUCGAAUCCAUCUACC